UAAGGAAUAUUGGUCAAUGGACGCAAGUCUGAACCAGCCAUGCCGCGUGGAGGAUGAAGGCCCUCUGGAUUGUAAACUUCUUUUAUAUGGGACGAAAUCAACUAUUCUUAGUUGUCUGACGGUACCAUAGGAAUAAGCACCGGCCAACUCCGUGCCAGCAGCCGCGGUAAUACGGAGGGUGCAAGCGUUAUCCGGAUUCACUGGGUUUAAAGGGUGCGUAGGCGGGCAGGUAAGUCAGUGGUGAAAUCUCCGAGCUUAACUCGGAAACUGCCGUUGAUACUAUCUGUCUUGAAUACUCGGGAGGUGAGCGGAAUAUGUCAUGUAGCGGUGAAAUGCUUAGAUAUGACAUAGAACACCAAUUGCGAAGGCAGCUCACUACAGAGUCAUUGACGCUGAGGCACGAAAGCGUGGGGAUCAAA
This 419-nucleotide ribosomal RNA is filed under the name uncultured bacterium. Its description in RNAcentral is "bacterial SSU rRNA". It matches the Rfam family "Bacterial small subunit ribosomal RNA", at positions 355 to 772 of the family's 1533-position model. The record is from RNAcentral.